RNAcentral lists this ribosomal RNA (490 nucleotides) under uncultured bacterium. Its description in RNAcentral is "partial 16S ribosomal RNA". It matches the Rfam family "Bacterial small subunit ribosomal RNA", at positions 28 to 507 of the family's 1533-position model. The record is from RNAcentral.
GAUGAACGCUAGCUACAGGCUUAACACAUGCAAGUCGAGGGGCAGCGGGAUUGAAGCUUGCUUCAAUUGCCGGCGACCGGCGCACGGGUGAGUAACGCGUAUCCAACCUUCCGUACACUCAGGGAUAGCCUUUCGAAAGAAAGAUUAAUACCUGAUGGUAUGAUGAGAUUGCAUGAUAUCAUCAUUAAAGAUUUAUCGGUGUACGAUGGGGAUGCGUUCCAUUAGGUAGUAGGCGGGGUAACGGCCCACCUAGCCAACGAUGGAUAGGGGUUCUGAGAGGAAGGUCCCCCACAUUGGAACUGAGACACGGUCCAAACUCCUACGGGAGGCAGCAGUGAGGAAUAUUGGUCAAUGGACGAGAGUCUGAACCAGCCAAGUAGCGUGAAGGAUGAAGGUCCUACGGAUUGUAAACUUCUUUUAUAAGGGAAUAAACCCUCCCACGUGUGGGAGCUUGUAUGUACCUUAUGAAUAAGCAUCGGCUAACCCCGUG